CGGACACCGCAGCGCUUUUAUUGCGGGCCAGCUAAGGGAACAGUUACAUAAAAAGGAUGAAUGAACAACAACAAAAGAGGAAGGCUGGGAUCAUAUUAUCUGAAAACUGGAACCACCUGCAUUUAUGAUUUCCUGUUUAGCUGCCUUAGCUUCUGAUCCUGUGAACAUGCUGGUACCAGAGCCUGGAUGCAAGGAGCCAUGGGAAAGGCCUCUGAGUCUGAGCUUCAGCAAGCUGCAGCUUUGCAAGAUGGGAAGUAAGAGUUCAGCUUGGUAA
Molecule: long non-coding RNA, 274 nt
Filed under: Chrysolophus pictus (golden pheasant)
Lineage: Eukaryota; Metazoa; Chordata; Aves; Galliformes; Phasianidae
Description: lncRNA (ENSCPIG00010007938.1)
Source: RNAcentral